GUGCCAGCCGCCGCGGUAAUACGGAGGAUGCAAGCGUUAUCCGGAUUUAUUGGGUUUGAAGGGUGCGUAGGCGGGGCAAUAAGUCAGAGGUGAAAUCUCCCGGCUUAACCGGGAAACUGUCUUUGAUACUGUUGUCCUUGAGUAUAAUUGAGGUGGGCGGAAUGUGUAAUGUAGCGGUGAAAUGCAUAGAUAUUACACGGAACACCGAUUGCGAAGGCAGCUCACUAAAUUAAAACUGACGCUGAGGCACGAAAGCGUGGGUAGCGAACAGGAUUAGAUACCCUGGUAGUCCACGCCGUAAACGAUGAAUACUCGAUGUGUGCGACACAUUGUACGCGUCUGAGCGAAAGCAUUAAGUAUUCCACCUGGGGAGUACGGCCGCAAGGCUGAAACUCAAAUGAAUUGACGGGG
This 411-nucleotide ribosomal RNA is filed under the name uncultured prokaryote. RNAcentral describes it as "bacterial SSU rRNA". It matches the Rfam family "Bacterial small subunit ribosomal RNA", at positions 505 to 918 of the family's 1533-position model. The record is from RNAcentral.